Molecule: ribosomal RNA, 1542 nt
Filed under: Triticum aestivum (bread wheat)
Lineage: Eukaryota; Viridiplantae; Streptophyta; Magnoliopsida; Poales; Poaceae
Description: partial small subunit ribosomal RNA
Source: RNAcentral
AUGGCGAGACCAUCUUCCUCGGAAGGACGACACCCUAACCUGUCUGGCACUCUGGCUCCGACUUACAGAAAUCGCAAGACACGCUGGGUCGCGCUUUUGCAGGAACUGAACUUUAGAUCCCUCGCUGGUGCCACCGACAUUCCAAAGGAUGGACAAGCAAAUGCCAUAAGAAUUGUGGCUAGGGCCCUGGAAAUGCCUUCUCCUCGGCCAUCAAUUAGCUACCAACAUAGCGAGGCAGUGCUGGGAUAUCUGAUCACUUGUCUGGAGUCAGAAUUUAAAGUUGAAGCUGAUCCAGCACUCAUCAAGGUCAUCCUUGGUGGGGUUGCAUCAGUGGAUGGAUUAGAUAGAAUAAGAGCCUUCUCUUGCCAGACUGAUGUUGAAGCUGUGGUGACCCUCGAGCAUUUAUGCAAUGGUAUAGUGGAUGAGCUAUCUAAGCCAGUCGAUAGAAAUCCGGCCAUUUUAGUCCUGGAUACUGAUGUGCAGAUGCUUCCUAGGGAGAACUUGCCUGCUUUAAGGAAUCAAGAAAUAUACCGCAUGCCAUCAAUGAGAAACAUCUUUCUAGCAUUGACUAGAAGCACUAAUGAUCACAAAGAUGCCAGUGCCAUGGCCCAUCCUUUUCCUGUUAUUGACCAUUUCGAUGCAUUCUAUCUAUUGAAUACUGCCCUAGCCGCCACCGGCCCUUUCCCUCCUCCCCAUCUCCCUCGUCGCCUCCGGAGGGGGCCACCGGCUCAUCACGUAGCCGCUGGUGAAGGGGGCGGCAAGGAUCUAUCGGAGGGUUGGCCUCCGAGGCGGCAGCCUCGACGUUCCUCUCCGUGGGAUCUGGCGAUUAGCAUGGUGGGAGUUGGACUGGGAGCUCUGUCCAGGGGAAACCCUUGGUCGACAGCAGCGACCACGACAUCAGCGGUGUUGUGGGCGCCGGAUUCCCCCUUGGAGGCAAUGUUGACACAUCUCCCCCACUCCCUUCUUCCACGUCGCUUGGGUGAGAACUCCAAAUCCUUGGAAUUGGGCGACAGCGGCGCAACAACGUCGUUUCCACCUUGGUGGCGUCGUCUUGGGUGGUGGGUUGGAGCGUGUGGUGUAGAGAGCUCGAGUGGUUCCUGGAGGUGGCUCGUGGGACACUUGAUUGCAAAGGAGGUUAUGCUCUUCAAGGGGCACCUUUCUCUUAUUUAUCUGCUGGUUCUCCUUGCGUCAUUGCAAAUCUCUGGGACGUCUCAGAUAAAGAUAUCGAUCGAUAGUAAAGCAUUGCUCAAUUCAUGGUUGCAAGAUAAUUUUAAGAAUCGCCCUAAAUGUUUUGAGUCCAUGACCAUUGCUGCUGCAAAGGAUAAUGGUAGGAGGCAAAGACGAAAAGGCACACGUCGAGAUCAGAAGCAGCAACAGACAGCAGAGAUAGAUGGCAGUAGUAAUUGCUGCAAUUGCGGUCACAAGCGGAUAGCUUGGCAUAUAAGUGAAGCUAGGCGUGCUUGCAGGCUUGCGCUUAUGAUCCGCGCAUCUCUUGUUUGUUAUGGCGUGCCUAGUAUCAUCAGGAAGAAGUCUGCGCUUUAA